UGAGGAAUAUUGGUCAAUGGGCGGGAGCCUGUACCAGCCAAGCCGCGUGACGGAAGAAGGCGCUAAGCGUCGUAAACGUCUUUUGCCGGGGAACAAAGGCGCGGACGCGUCCGCGUGUGAGUGUACCCGGAGAAAAAGCAUCGGCUAACUCCGUGCCAGCAGCCGCGGUAAUACGGAGGAUGCGAGCGUUAUCCGGAUUUAUUGGGUUUAAAGGGUGCGUAGGCGGCCCGUUAAGUCAGCGGUAAAAAGCCCGGGGCUCAACCCCGGCGAGCCGUUGAAACUGGGGGGCUAGAGACGGCGAGAAGUACGCGGAAUGCGCGGUGUAGCGGUGAAAUGCAUAGAUAUCGCGCAGAACUCCGAUCGCGAAGCAGCGUACCGGCGCCGGACUGACGCUGAGGCACGAAAGCGUGGGUAUAGAACAGGAUUAGAUACC
RNAcentral lists this ribosomal RNA (433 nucleotides) under uncultured bacterium. RNAcentral describes it as "bacterial SSU rRNA". It matches the Rfam family "Bacterial small subunit ribosomal RNA", at positions 355 to 786 of the family's 1533-position model. The record is from RNAcentral.